Molecule: ribosomal RNA, 142 nt
Filed under: uncultured bacterium
Lineage: Bacteria
Description: partial 16S rRNA
Rfam family: Bacterial small subunit ribosomal RNA
Source: RNAcentral
GUGGGGAAUUUUCCGCAAUGGGCGAAAGCCUGACGGAGCAAUGCCGCGUGGAGGUGGAAGGCCUACGGGUCGUCAACUUCUUUUCUCGGAGAAGAAACAAUGACGGUAUCUGGGGAAUAAGCAUCGGCUAACUCUGUGCCAG